GAUGAACGCUGGCGGCGUGCUUAACACAUGCAAGUCGAACGAUGAAGCUGGAGCUUGCUCUGGUGGAUUAGUGGCGAACGGGUGAGUAACACGUGAGCAACCUGCCCCUGACUCUGGGAUAACAGCCGGAAACGGCUGCUAAUACCGGAUAUGCACCAUGAACGCAUGUUCUGUGGUGGGAAAGAUUUUUCGGUUGGGGAUGGGCUCGCGGCCUAUCAGCUUGUUGGUGAGGUAAUGGCUCACCAAGGCGUCGACGGGUAGCCGGCCUGAGAGGGUGACCGGCCACACUGGGACUGAGACACGGCCCAGACUCCUACGGGAGGCAGCGGUGGGGAAUAUUGCACAAUGGGCGAAAGCCUGAUGCAGCAACGCCGCGUGAGGGAUGACGGCCUUCGGGUUGUAAACCUCUUUUAGCAGGGAAGAAGCGAGAGUGACGGUACCUGCAGAAAAAGCGCCGGCUAACUACGUG
RNAcentral lists this ribosomal RNA (469 nucleotides) under uncultured bacterium. Its description in RNAcentral is "partial 16S ribosomal RNA". It matches the Rfam family "Bacterial small subunit ribosomal RNA", at positions 28 to 507 of the family's 1533-position model. The record is from RNAcentral.